CAGCACCUCAAGUGGUCAGGAUGAUUAUUGGGCCUAAAGCAUCCGUAGCCGGCGCUGUAAGUUUUCGGUUAAAUCUGUACGCUCAACGUACAGGCUGCCGGGAAUACUGCAGAGCUAGAGAGUGGGAGAGGUAGACGGUACUCGGUAGGAAGGGGUAAAAUCCUUUGAUCUAUUGAUGACCACCUGUGGCGAAGGCGGUCUACCAGAACACGUCCGACGGUGAGGGAUGAAAGCUGGGGGAGCAAACCGGAUUAGAUACCCGAGUAGUCC
Molecule: ribosomal RNA, 270 nt
Filed under: uncultured archaeon
Lineage: Archaea
Description: partial 16S ribosomal RNA
Rfam family: Archaeal small subunit ribosomal RNA
Source: RNAcentral